GAGCGAUGGGGCCAAUGUGUACAAACUCAUCGGACCGGUGCUGGUCAAGCAGGACCUCGUUGAGGCCAAGGCCAACGUCAAGAAGCGCAUCGAGUACAUCUCCGCAGAGCUGAAGCGGAUGGAUCGGGCGCUCAAAGACUUGGAGGAAAAGCAAAA
Zea mays is the source of this 156-nucleotide long non-coding RNA. RefSeq lists it as uncharacterized. The record is from RefSeq and is a predicted model, not a curated record. Lineage: Eukaryota; Viridiplantae; Streptophyta; Magnoliopsida; Poales; Poaceae. The transcript has 2 exons.